RNAcentral lists this non-coding RNA (2217 nucleotides) under Pongo abelii (Sumatran orangutan). The record is from RNAcentral. Lineage: Eukaryota; Metazoa; Chordata; Mammalia; Primates; Hominidae.
CUGCAGGAAGAAAGACCAGGAAGGGUCGUGACUGCUUGCGCACGGCUGCAGGCGUUCUGCCGGGCAAGAACCUCCCGGUGCGCCCGGAGCUGCUCCAAGUUGAGAGUGGCGCAUAACAUGGGGCUGGAGUUGAGGCUUGAAGGGCCAAGGAGUGCCAACUUACCCUGGGUUGUAGAAAAGGAAGAAGAAUCAGCAGAGACCAUUUGUGGCUAGCAAAGCUUAAAAUAUUUCCUAACCGAUCCUUUGCAAAAAAAGUUUGCCCACUCCUGUAGUUAGCAUCUCCCCUACUGUGUGCAGUCUAUGUACCAUCUCAGACUAGCAAAGAUUUGUGCUUGGAUAAUCUACACUUCCCUGUAUAUUGAAGAAGAUAUGCUAUCCAUGCAAUCCUUCUGGACUGCUUGAUUAAAAAGUGGAUAAACUGUCUUCAGGCCCUUGGAGUAUGGUGCCUGUGUGAAGAGGGGAAUGAGGCAGAAGUAGCAGUCAGUGGUGGCUGAAGUAGGAGAAAGUGCUUGCUAAUGAAAUCUUGAUUUUUCUGUGGCUUUUCUGUGCAAUUGGGUGGCUAAGUAGGAAAGCCAUUGGAACUUCACUGUAUCAAUUCUGCCUUUCUUGUUUUUUGGAACUCCAAUUCACCAAGGCUCCCUGCCACCCUAUCCAUCUAUAACUUUUCAUCACUUUUUCCUCAAAGUAAAAAGUGUGUCCCAGAAAAUGUGCCUUUGUGACUCAGCAACAUUUCAAAUCCGUCUGAGCCUUCCCAGCGUUCCAAAAGAAAUACUGAUUUGAAUUCAGCUGCUUAAAAAACCAGCCUCUAAGCAGGCAGCUUGAAACUUCCUUACUGCAAUAGUUUAGGCUUUGGAGGGGAAAUUGGUUUGUUUUUAAUUGUUUUAAUUUUUCAGUUAAUUCAUUUGCCACCUGAUUAUAUAUGAUCUUUUGAGCCCAAUACUCUGCUAAAUUAACCUUGACUUUCUUUCUCUCUUUCUCUCUCUCUCUUUCUCUCUUUCUUCCUUUCUUUCUUGCUUUUUGACAGAGCCUUGCUCUGUUGCCCAGGCUGGAAUACAGUGGCACAAUCUCAGCUCACUGCAAACUCCGCCUCCAAAGUUCAAGCAAUUCUCCUGCCUCAGCCUCCUGAGUAGCUGGGAUUAUUACAUGCGCCCGCCACCACGCCCGGCUAAUUUUUGUAUUUUUAGUAAAGAUGGAAUUUCGCCCUCUUGGCCAAGCUGGUCUCGAACUCCUGACCUCAACCUUGGCCUCUCACAGUGCUGAGAUUACAAGCAUGAGCCACCAUGCCUGGCCUUACCUUGACUUUUUUUUUUUUUGAGACAGUCUCACUCUGUUACUCAGGCUGGAGUGUAGUGGCUUGAUCUUGGCUCACUGCAACCUCCAUCUCCCGGGUUCAAGAGAUUCUCCUGCCUUAGCCUCCCAAGUAGCUGGGACUACAGGUGUGGGCCACCACGCCUAGCUAAUUUUUUGUAUGUUUAUUAGAGAUGGGGUUUCACCAUGUUGGGCAGGCUGGUCUUAAACUCCUGACCUCAGGUGAUUCACCUGCCUCGGCCUCCCAAAAUGCUGGGAUUACAGGCGUGAGCCACCACACCCGGCCCCUACCUUUGAUUUUUAAGUCAAGAGGGAACAAGUCGAAAUUUCUAUUCAGUUAAACUAUAUACCUUUGGACACUGAAUCACUUUUAGAACCACAGUAAAAAUCAUGUAUGAAUGACCCACAAUUUCACUCCAACAGGAAGGUGUGUAUAUGUGCACAAAAACAUUAGAUUGUUCACACCAGUGCUAUUCCUAAUAGUCAAAAACUGGAAACAACUCAAAUAUCCAUCAACUGUAGAAUGGAUAAAUAAAUCAUGAUAUAUUCAUACCAUGGAACAUAACAGUGACAAUAAAUGAACCACUGCUACACACAACAGAUAUGAAUUUCACAAACAGAAUGCUGAGCAACAGAAGCCAAACACAGAAGGAUACACAUUUAUGAAUCCAUUUGUAUGAAGUUCAUAAACAGACAAAAUUAGUCAGUGGAGAUCAUUCUCAUAGAAGUCUGAAGAGUAGUUGUCUUUAGGGAGGGGGAUAUAGUGACUGAAGUGGGUAUAAGGGGUUUCUGGGGUUUGGUGAUGGUACACCAGCAUAUUCACUUUGAAAAUUCAUUGAGCUGUGCAAUAAUGAUUUUUCAAACUUUUAUAUGUGUAUGAUAUGCUUCAAUAAAGCUUUGCUUAAAAAG